UAGUCCUAGCAGUAAACGGUGCGCGCUUGCUGUGGGCGGAUUCGACCCCGUCCGUGGCGGAGCUAACGCGUUAAGCGCGCCGCCUGGGGAGUACGGCCGCAAGGUUAAAACUCAAAGAAAUUGACGGGGGCCUGCACAAGCGGUGGAGUAUGUGGCUUAAUUCGAUGCAACGCGAAGAACCUUACCUGGCCUUGACAUGCAUCUCUAAGGCUGUGAAAGCAGUCGAGCUCUUCGGAGUAAUUUGCACAGGUGCUGCAUGGCUGUCGUCAGCUCGUGUCGUGAGAUGUUGGGUUAAGUCCCGCAACGAGCGCAACCCUUGUGUCCUGUUGCCACCCGAACGUAAGUUCGGAGCACUCUGGACAGACUGCCUGGUUCCAACCAGGAGGAAGGUGGGGAUGACGUCAAGUCAGUAUGGCCCUUACGGCCAGGGCUGCACACGUACUACAAUGCCUAGCACAGAGGGAAGCAAGACCGCAAGGUGGAGCAAAUCCCCAAAACU
RNAcentral lists this ribosomal RNA (499 nucleotides) under uncultured bacterium. Its description in RNAcentral is "bacterial SSU rRNA". It matches the Rfam family "Bacterial small subunit ribosomal RNA", at positions 791 to 1283 of the family's 1533-position model. The record is from RNAcentral.